ACAGAGGGUGCAAGCGUUAUUCGGAAUUACUGGGCGUAAAGCGCAUGUAGGUGGUCCGGUAAGUCAGGUGUGAAAGCUCUCGGCUCAACCGGGGCAGUGCAUUGGAUACUGCCGGACUGGAGUACAGGAGAGGAGAACGGAAUUCCUGGUGUAGAGGUGGAAUUCGUAGAUAUCAGGAGGAACAACGGCGGCGAAGGCGGUUCUCUGGACUGUAACUGACUCUGAGAUGCGAAAGCGUGGGGAGCAAACAG
Molecule: ribosomal RNA, 251 nt
Filed under: uncultured prokaryote
Description: partial 16S rRNA
Rfam family: Bacterial small subunit ribosomal RNA
Source: RNAcentral